GCCCCCGUAGCUCAGCUGGUAGAGCGCUACCUUGGUAAGGUAGAGGUCUCCGGUUCAAAUCCGGUCGGGAGCU
RNAcentral lists this transfer RNA (73 nucleotides) under Parasporobacterium paucivorans DSM 15970. It matches the Rfam family "tRNA". From Rfam's summary of the family: Transfer RNA (tRNA) molecules are approximately 80 nucleotides in length. Their secondary structure includes four short double-helical elements and three loops (D, anti-codon, and T loops). Lineage: Bacteria; Bacillati; Bacillota; Clostridia; Lachnospirales; Lachnospiraceae. The record is from Rfam by way of RNAcentral.